GCCCGCAGGCUCGCUUCGCCGCGGCGGGGGGAGGACGGGACGGAGGAUGCCGCGGCCCCUCCUAGCCGGCUGCCCCCCGCCUCGGCGGGGCCGGGGCGGCAGCGGGGAGAUCUCCGCUGCCGAGGGGGCUGACGGCUGGGGUCGGAGCCGACCCGCGGGAAGCGCGGAGCGGCCGCGCACCGAGCGCGCACUGACAGCGGGGCAGACUCCUCCUCUCGCCGCGCUUAACUCUUGCCUCCACCGGCACCGGCACGCUGCGGCCGCGGGAGGGGAGAGCGGCGGCCGCCCCGAGUCCACCCUCCGGUCGUGUCCCCCCCCCCAGCCCCGCGGCAGGGCUCGCCCCCGCCCGCCCCGCGGAGGUGCCGACCCCGACGGGAGCCGCGGGCAUCCCCGAGGGCUGCGCGGCCGCGGAGCCGCCGGUGCCGGCCCAGCGCUGCCGCAGGGCUCCGCCGGGCCCGGGGAAGCCGCCCGCGACCGCCCCGAGCCCCCGACCUGGGCAGGCGGCGGAAGGGUUAAGCGGCCGGGAGGUUAGUCAGCGAGACUCCUGGGGUGAUGGCUUGGAAGAGGAGAGUCCCUCUGGCUGAAGUUUAAAGGAGGUUUCUCCAGACGGGAGUCGUAUCGCCUUCGCGGAGCGCUUCGAACCAAACCUAAAGCCAGUCCCGUCCCUUCCCCGAGGGACCUUCUCGCCAUGAAACCCUUCCUGCCUACCCAGCCGAGCUGCCUGCGAGCGAGCUAAAACCGGCAGGAGAAACCAGCGGGCCCGAGGAGUGACCUACAGAGACCCCCGGGCAAGGGAAGCGCGCAGGAGGGCACACACACAGCACACAGACACACAGCGCGGGAGUAAGACCCUACCUUGAUCCAUAGACCUCAUGAUGUGGUGAUCCAUUUAGAAGAGAGAGGAGCAACCCCAUGGAUUUCCACUGAUACACGUGGAGCUUAGCAAGAAUGAAAUAGCCAAGGAAGCCUCCGAAACCAAGACAACCCGUGUGUGUUUACACGUACUAUGUAUAAACAGGAAAAUAAAGCAAAAGAAAACAGGAAAAUAAAGAUGUCGUGAACUGUG
Long non-coding RNA from Aquila chrysaetos chrysaetos, 1066 nucleotides. RefSeq lists it as uncharacterized. NCBI's taxonomy places the organism in Eukaryota, Metazoa, Chordata, Aves, Accipitriformes, Accipitridae. The transcript has 2 exons. The record is from RefSeq and is a predicted model, not a curated record.